Molecule: long non-coding RNA, 328 nt
Filed under: Gossypium barbadense (sea-island cotton)
Lineage: Eukaryota; Viridiplantae; Streptophyta; Magnoliopsida; Malvales; Malvaceae
Description: long non-coding RNA (GBAR_LNC012213)
Source: RNAcentral
CAAGAAAUAACUCUAAAAAUAAAUUUGAAUAAAUAGAGUAUCACAUACAAAAACUUGCAUUUCCUUAAACAGCCCUAGUCAUCCUCACCCUUCAUUCUUUUACAAACAUGUAUAUAUAUAUAUAUAUAUCCGCAAUUAAGCAAAUUAUUGAGUCAUAAUUCCUAUCCUAUACAAGGUGCACAUGACUGACCCUCAUUACAAUUCAAAACUGCAAAGCAAGAGCAAUUAUUAUUAUGCUUCCGCCAAAUUGGAGUAACAAAACUGAAACCCUAUACAAUACAGAUUAAGAAAGCAAAGAUAAUUAACCUGGUUUGGCUUGAAACGAGAC